GCUGAUCCGCGAUUACUAGCGAUUCCGACUUCACGCAGUCGAGUUGCAGACUGCGAUCCGGACUACGAACGGCUUUCUGGGAUCGGCUCCCCCUCGCGGGUUGGCAACCCUCUGUACCGUCCAUUGUAUGACGUGUGAAGCCCUACCCAUAAGGGCCACGAGGACUUGACGUCAUCCCCACCUUCCUCCGGUUUGUCACCGGCAGUCUCCCUAGAGUGCCCUUGCGUAGCAACUAGGGACAAGGGUUGCGCUCGUUGCGGGACUUAACCCAACAUCUCACGACACGAGCUGACGACAGCCAUGCAGCACCUGUGUUCCGGUUCCCUUUCGGGCACAGCCACCUUUCAGCAGCCUUCCAGACAUGUCAAGGGUAGGUAAGGUUGUUCGCGUUGCAUCGAAUUAAUCCACAUCAUCCACCGCUUGUGCGGGUCCCCGUCAAUUCCUUUGAGUUUUAACCUUGCGGCCGUACUCCCCAGGCGGCUCACUUCACGCGUUAGCUACG
Molecule: ribosomal RNA, 502 nt
Filed under: uncultured beta proteobacterium
Lineage: Bacteria; Pseudomonadati; Pseudomonadota; Betaproteobacteria
Description: partial 16S ribosomal RNA
Source: RNAcentral